This 468-nucleotide ribosomal RNA is filed under the name uncultured bacterium. RNAcentral's name for it is "partial 16S ribosomal RNA". It matches the Rfam family "Bacterial small subunit ribosomal RNA", at positions 28 to 507 of the family's 1533-position model. The record is from RNAcentral.
GACGAACGCUGGCGGCGUGCUUAACACAUGCAAGUCGAACGGAAAGGCCCUGCUUUUGUGGGGUGCUCGAGUGGCGAACGGGUGAGUAACACGUGAGUAACCUGCCCUUGACUUUGGGAUAACUUCAGGAAACUGGGGCUAAUACCGGAUAGGAGCUCCUGCUGCAUGGUGGGGGUUGGAAAGUUUCGGCGGUUGGGGAUGGACUCGCGGCUUAUCAGCUUGUUGGUGGGGUAGUGGCUUACCAAGGCUUUGACGGGUAGCCGGCCUGAGAGGGGGGACGGACAAAGGGGGACUGAGAGAGGCACCAGACGGCAAGGGGAGCAAACGGGGGGAAAUAUUGCAAAGGGGGGGAGAGUUUGAGACAAAAACCCCGGGGGCGGAAGAAGGGCUUACGGGUGGAAAACCGGUUUGGCAGGUAAGAAAGAGGGAGGGAGGUAAAUGGAUAAGAAAGAACCGGAAAACUACGUG